Molecule: small nucleolar RNA, 106 nt
Organism: Gossypium arboreum
Lineage: Eukaryota; Viridiplantae; Streptophyta; Magnoliopsida; Malvales; Malvaceae
Rfam family: Plant small nucleolar RNA R71
About the family: R71 is a member of the C/D box family of snoRNAs containing the C (UGAUGA) and D (CUGA) box motifs. Multiple nearly identical copies of this snoRNA have been identified in Arabidopsis, and it is thought to function as a 2'-O-ribose methylation guide for 18S ribosomal RNA.
Source: Rfam
AGUCUAUGCUAUUGGCACCUCCUUAGCAUCAUCUUGAAGCAUUCUCAUUCUUCGUAUAGGGAUUCACCUUCAUAUUGUUUAAAAUAGGCGAUUUCUUGCUUGAGCU